GGAGGGGUGGCCGAGUGGUUGAAGGCGGUAGAUUCGAAAUCUACUGUACGUGUUCACGUACCGGGGGUUCGAAUCCCCCCCUCUCCG
RNAcentral lists this transfer RNA (87 nucleotides) under Deltaproteobacteria bacterium. Its description in RNAcentral is "tRNA-Ser". It matches the Rfam family "tRNA". From Rfam's summary of the family: Transfer RNA (tRNA) molecules are approximately 80 nucleotides in length. Lineage: Bacteria; Pseudomonadati; Myxococcota; Myxococcia. The record is from RNAcentral.